Molecule: ribosomal RNA, 397 nt
Filed under: uncultured bacterium
Lineage: Bacteria
Description: bacterial SSU rRNA
Rfam family: Bacterial small subunit ribosomal RNA
Source: RNAcentral
UAUUGGUCAAUGGGGGAAACCCUGAACCAGCAACGCCGCGUGAGGGAAGACGGUUUUCGGAUUGUAAACCUCUGUCCUCUGUGAAGAUGAUGACGGUACCUGAGUAAGAAGCCCCGGCUAACUACGUGCCAGCAGCCGCGGUAAUACGUAGGGGGCAAGCGUUAUCCGGAAUUACUGGGUGUAAAGGGAGCGUAGACGGUGAUGUAAGUCUGGAGUGAAAGGCGGGGGCCCAACCCCCGGACUGCUCUGGAAACUAUGUGACUGGAGUGCAGGAGAGGUGAGCGGAAUUCCUAGUGUAGCGGUGAAAUGCGUAGAUAUUAGGAGGAACACCAGUGGCGAAGGCGGCUCACUGGACUGUAACUGACGUUGAGGCUCGAAAGCGUGGGGAGCAAACAGG